GAUGAACGCUGGCGGCGUGCCUAAUACAUGCAAGUCGAGCGAACAGAUGAGGAGCUUGCUCCUCUGACGUUAGCGGCGGACGGGUGAGUAACACGUGGAUAACCUACCUAUAAGACUGGGAUAACUUCGGGAAACCGGAGCUAAUACCGGAUAAUAUAUUGAACCGCAUGGUUCAAUAGUGAAAGACGGUUUUGCUGUCACUUAUAGAUGGAUCCGCGCCGCAUUAGCUAGUUGGUAAGGUAACGGCUUACCAAGGCAACGAUGCGUAGCCGACCUGAGAGGGUGAUCGGCCACACUGGAACUGAGACACGGUCCAGACUCCUACGGGAGGCAGCAGUAGGGAAUCUUCCGCAAUGGGCGAAAGCCUGACGGAGCAACGCCGCGUGAGUGAUGAAGGUCUUCGGAUCGUAAAACUCUGUUAUUAGGGAAGAACAAAUGUGUAAGUAACUAUGCACGUCUUGACGGUACCUAAUCAGAAAGCCGCGGCUAACUACGUG
Molecule: ribosomal RNA, 497 nt
Filed under: uncultured bacterium
Lineage: Bacteria
Description: partial 16S ribosomal RNA
Rfam family: Bacterial small subunit ribosomal RNA
Source: RNAcentral